RNAcentral lists this ribosomal RNA (1345 nucleotides) under human gut metagenome. RNAcentral's name for it is "bacterial LSU rRNA". It matches the Rfam family "Bacterial large subunit ribosomal RNA", at positions 1090 to 2518 of the family's 2925-position model. The record is from RNAcentral.
CAACCAGGAUGUUGGCUCAGAAGCAGCCACUCAUUCAAAGAGUGCGUAAUAGCUCACUGGUCGAGCGUCUUUGCGCGGAGAAUUUAACGGGGCUAAACCUGACACCGAAGCUUAGGCAAUCCAGCAAUGGAUUGGGUAGGGGAGCGUUGUAUACGCGGAGAAACAGUAGCGUAAGCGGCUGUGGAGUGUAUAGAAGUGAGAAUGCCGGAAUGAGUAGCGCGAAUGCAGUGAGAAUCUGCAUGGCCGAAAGCCUCAGGUUUUUGGAGGAAGGUUCGUCCGCUCCAAGUUAGUCGGGAGCUAAGGUGAGGCCGGAAGGCGUAGCCGAUGCACAGACGGUAGAGAUUCCGUCACCACCAAAAGAGUUAAGCACAGGGACACAUUUGAAGUCUCAGAGCCGGGUGUUGGUUCCGGUAGAGAUCGAGGGAAAUUAGUACCGAAGUCUGGGAUGGAGGAUGGCGAGAAAAGCUGUGUGUAUUUCUGAGGUGCCCGUACCGCAAACCGACACAGGUAGGUAGGAAGAAGAUUCUAAGGCCAACGGGAGAAGGGUUGUUAAGGAACUCGGCAAAUUGACCCCGUAACUUCGGGAGAAGGGGUGCUCCAGAGAUGGAGCCGCAGAGAAUCGGCCCAAGCAACUGUUUACCAAAAACACAGGUUUGUGCUAAAUCGAAAGAUGACGUAUACGAGCUGACGCCUGCCCGGUGCUGGAAGGUUAAGAGGAGAUGUGCAAGCAUUGAAUCGAAGCCCCAGUGAACGGCGGCCGUAACUAUAACGGUCCUAAGGUAGCGAAAUUCCUUGUCAGGUAAGUUCUGACCCGCAUGAAAGGCGUAAUGAUUUGGGCACUGUCUCAACAGCCCGCCCGGCGAAAUUGUAGUACCGGUGAAGAUGCCGGUUACCCGCGACAAGACGGAAAGACCCCAUGGAGCUUUACUGUAGCCUAAUAUUGGGUUUCGAUGUUGCAUGCACAGGAUAGAUGGGACACUGGGAAACAAUCGCUUUGGCGGUUGCGGAGUGGCCGUUGGGAUACCAUCCUUGCGAUAUUGGAAUUCUAACCUGCGGCUCUGAAUCGAGUCGGGGGACAUUGUUAGGUGGGCAGUUUGACUGGGGCGGUCGCCUCCUAAAAAGUAACGGAGGCGUUCAAAGGUUCGCUCAGCUUGAACGGAAAUCAAGCAAAAGAGUGCAAACGCAGAAGCGAGCCUAACUGCGAGACUGACGGGUCGAGCAGUAACGAAAGUUGGAGUUAGUGAUCCGGUGGUAUGUGAGUGGAAAUGCCAUCGCUCAACGGAUAAAAGUUACCCUGGGGAUAACAGGCUGAUCUCCCCCAAGAGUCCACAUCGACGGGGAGGUU